UCCCUGGUGGCUCAGACGGUAAAGCAUCUGUCUACAAUGCAGGAGACCCAGGUUCGAUCCCUGGGUUGGGAA
RNAcentral lists this transfer RNA (72 nucleotides) under Bos indicus (zebu cattle). It matches the Rfam family "tRNA". Rfam says of the family: Transfer RNA (tRNA) molecules are approximately 80 nucleotides in length. Their secondary structure includes four short double-helical elements and three loops (D, anti-codon, and T loops). RNAcentral also lists the same sequence under 6 other names. The record is from Rfam by way of RNAcentral. Lineage: Eukaryota; Metazoa; Chordata; Mammalia; Artiodactyla; Bovidae.